Molecule: ribosomal RNA, 588 nt
Filed under: Triticum aestivum (bread wheat)
Lineage: Eukaryota; Viridiplantae; Streptophyta; Magnoliopsida; Poales; Poaceae
Description: partial small subunit ribosomal RNA
Source: RNAcentral
AUGGCGCUCCUCCUCCCCCGCACGGCGCGGCUCGCGCUCCUCCCCGCCGGCCGGCGAGCCUACUCCUCCACCGUCGGCGCGGCGGGAGCGGGAACAACGGCGCCAGCGCCGUACGGCGGCGCCGCGGAGUUCGUGGUGUCCAAGGUGGACGGCCUGAUGAACUGGGCGCGGCGGGGCUCGAUCUGGCCCAUGACGUUCGGCCUCGCCUGCUGCGCCGUGGAGAUGAUGCACGCCGGCGCCGCCCGCUACGACUUCGACCGCUUCGGCGUCAUCUUCCGCCCCUCGCCGCGCCAGUCCGACUGCAUGAUCGUCGCCGGCACGCUCACCAACAAGAUGGCGCCCGCGCUCCGCAAGGUUUAUGACCAGAUGCCAGAGCCUCGGUGGGUGAUCUCGAUGGGCAGCUGCGCCAACGGCGGUGGAUACUACCACUACUCGUACUCCGUCGUGCGUGGGUGCGACCGGAUCGUUCCCGUGGACAUCUACGUCCCUGGGUGCCCGCCAACAGCUGAAGCUCUCCUGUAUGGCGUUCUCCAGUUGCAGAAGAAGAUCAACAGGCGCAAGGAUUUCCUUCACUGGUGGGAGAAGUGA